Non-coding RNA from Pelobates cultripes (western spadefoot toad), 206 nucleotides. NCBI's taxonomy places the organism in Eukaryota, Metazoa, Chordata, Amphibia, Anura, Pelobatidae. The record is from the annotation of a GenBank genome assembly.
CUUGCAUUUCCAUGAUGUUUACAUACUUAUCUACACUAGUGCCUUAGUAGAUGUAAAUAUAACAGUCUGUCUCAAGGACAAUAGACUGGAUUGCCAUAAAUCUACUUCAUGUAAACCCAGAACAAGGGUGGUCUUGAUACAAUAAGUCAGAGAACUGCCCAUAAGCUAUCUCCACCGACUCUAUAACCUUCACUGAACAGUUUGGC